This 480-nucleotide ribosomal RNA is filed under the name uncultured bacterium. RNAcentral describes it as "bacterial SSU rRNA". It matches the Rfam family "Bacterial small subunit ribosomal RNA", at positions 30 to 506 of the family's 1533-position model. The record is from RNAcentral.
UUGAACGCUGGCGGUAUGCUUUACACAUGCAAGUCGAACGGCAGCACGGGGCAACCUGGUGGCGAGUGGCGAACGGGUGAGUAAUAUAUCGGAACAUAUCCGGAAGUGGGGGAUAACGUAGCGAAAGUUGCGCUAAUACCGCAUAUGCCCUGAGGGGGAAAGGGGGGGAUCGCAAGACCUCUCGCUUUCGGAGUGGCCGAUAUCGGAUUAGCUAGUUGGUGAGGUAAAGGCUCACCAAGGCGACGAUCCGUAGCGGUUCUGAGAGGACGACCCGCCACACUGGAACUGAGACACGGUCCAGACUCCUACGGGAGGCAGCAGUGGGGAAUUUUGGACAAUGGGGGCAACCCUGAUCCAGCCAUGCCGCGUGAGUGAAGAAGGCCUUCGGGUUGUAAAGCUCUUUCAGCCGGAAAGAAACGGUUACGGUGAAUAUCCGUGACUAAUGACGGUACCGGCAGAAGAAGCACCGGCUAACUACGU